AGAUCUUUCAGCAAGCUGAUAGAAUCGGCACUCCUUCUUUGUUUAAAGUGAAACUGUGCUUUAAAACAACUUUGAUAAAGAAAAACAUGUAAUCCUAUACCCAUCCACCUGGGAGUAAACUCCAUUGAAUUUCAUAGGACUUACUUCUGAGCAUUAGGACCUAUAGAAAUCAGUGUGAAGAGUUAAGUCACGACAUCUUUUCCCAUCUAUUCCAAUGGGGCUUUAAGUGCAACUAACUUAAAUCUGGAUUCAAACUUUAUAUCCCUGACAAAAAUCUCAUGCAAGGGUUUUGAAGACUGUUACAAAGCAAUCCCCAGGAAGUUGAACAUUAUGCAGUUAUUCUCCUGGUUUCACUUCAGAACAAACUCUUGAACUGAAAUGGGGAAUAAAACAACAAGUCUCAA
This is a long non-coding RNA of Rhineura floridana, 404 nucleotides long. RefSeq lists it as uncharacterized. NCBI's taxonomy places the organism in Eukaryota, Metazoa, Chordata, Lepidosauria, Squamata, Rhineuridae. The transcript is spliced from 3 exons. The record is from RefSeq and is a predicted model, not a curated record.